UGGGGAAUCUUGCGCAAUGGGCGAAAGCCUGACGCAGCAACGCCGCGUGCGGGAUGAAGGCCUUCGGGUUGUAAACCGCUUUUAACAGGAACGAAAAUGACGGUACCUGUAGAAUAAGGUGCGGCCAACUACGUGCCAGCAGCCGCGGUGACACGUAGGCACCAAGCGUUGUCCGGAUUUAUUGGGCGUAAAGAGCUCGUAGGCGGUUCAGUAAGUCGGGUGUGAAAACUCUGGGCUUAACCCAGAGACGCCACUCGAUACUACUGUGACUAGAGUUCGGUAGGGGAGCGGGGGAAUUCCUAGUGUAGCGGUGAAAUGCGCAGAUAUUAGGAGGAACACCGGUGGCGAAGGCGCCGCUCUGGGCCGAUACUGACGCUGAGGAGCGAAAGCGUGGGUAGCAAACAGGAUUAGAUACCCUGGUAGUCCACGCCGUAAACGGUGGGCACUAGGUGUGGGCUCCAACCAACGGAGUCCGCGCCGUCGCUAACGCAUUAAGUGCCCCGCCUGGGGAGUACGGCCGCAAGGUUAAAACUUAAAUGAAUUGACGGGGUCAUAGCUGUUUCCU
This 565-nucleotide ribosomal RNA is filed under the name uncultured bacterium. RNAcentral's name for it is "partial 16S ribosomal RNA". It matches the Rfam family "Bacterial small subunit ribosomal RNA", at positions 355 to 1375 of the family's 1533-position model. The record is from RNAcentral.